UCGGGGGCGCGCAGUCGCCCGUGUGAGUCUGGCUCACAUCCAAGCAGACACAGCGGCCACAGAGAGUAGCCUGCAGUGUCACCAGGCCAGCGGCCUUAAACUUCAGCUGCACAAGAGGCUGGGGACUGUUGAGAACGCAGAUUCUCGGGGCCGGCGCUGAGACCCUGAUACAGACACAUCAUAUGGCCUUUGCACCCACUUCCAGGUGAGAGAUGGGCUAUGAAUCUCAAAAAGUGUCAAGGCUGUUGAGCACCUGAAGUUUCUUAGAGAGGUCUGGUCAGUGUCUUUCAGUCUGAAACAGUUCCUCAGGAUUUCUUCCAUGACACUGACCCAGUUGAAGAUUGCAGACUGACUACUGUAGGCUGUCCCUCAAUUUGAGCCUCGAUCCAUUUACGCCUG
Long non-coding RNA from Lepus europaeus (European hare), 399 nucleotides. RefSeq lists it as uncharacterized. The transcript is spliced from 3 exons. The record is from RefSeq and is a predicted model, not a curated record. Lineage: Eukaryota; Metazoa; Chordata; Mammalia; Lagomorpha; Leporidae.